GAUGAACGCUGGCGGCGUGCCUAAUACAUGCAAGUCGAGCGAACGGACGAGAAGCUUGCUUCUCUGAUGUUAGCGGCGGACGGGUGAGUAACACGUGGAUAACCUACCUAUAAGACUGGGAUAACUUCGGGAAACCGGAGCUAAUACCGGAUGAUAUUUUGAACCGCAUGGUUCAAAAGUGAAAGACGGUCUUGCUGUCACUUAUAGAUGGAUCCGCGCUGCAUUAGAUAGUUGGUAAGGUAACGGCUUACCAAGGCAACGAUGCAUAGCCGACCUGAGAGGGUGAUCGGCGACACUGGAACUGAGACACGGUCCAGACUCCUACGGGAGGCAGCAGUAGGGAAUCUUCCGCAAUGGGCGAAAGCAUGACGGAGCAACGCCGCGUGAGUGAUGAAGGUCUUCGGAUCGUAAAACUCUGUUAUUAGGGAAGAACAUAUGUGUAAGUAACUGUGCACAUAUUGACGGUACCUAAUCAGAAAGCCACGGCUAACUACGUG
RNAcentral lists this ribosomal RNA (497 nucleotides) under uncultured bacterium. RNAcentral's name for it is "partial 16S ribosomal RNA". It matches the Rfam family "Bacterial small subunit ribosomal RNA", at positions 28 to 507 of the family's 1533-position model. The record is from RNAcentral.